UACGGAGGGGGCUAGCGUUGUUCGGAAUUACUGGGCGUAAAGCGCACGUAGGCGGCUUUGCAAGUUAGAGGUGAAAGCCCGGGGCUCAACUCCGGAAUUGCCUUUAAAACUGCAUCGCUAGAAUUGUGGAGAGGUAAGUGGAAUUCCGAGUGUAGAGGUGAAAUUCGUAGAUAUUCGGAAGAACACCAGUGGCGAAGGCGGCUCUCUGGGACGGUACUGACGCUGAGACGCGAAAGCGUGGGGAGCGAACAGG
RNAcentral lists this ribosomal RNA (253 nucleotides) under uncultured bacterium. RNAcentral's name for it is "partial 16S ribosomal RNA". It matches the Rfam family "Bacterial small subunit ribosomal RNA", at positions 524 to 776 of the family's 1533-position model. The record is from RNAcentral.